This 445-nucleotide ribosomal RNA is filed under the name uncultured bacterium. RNAcentral's name for it is "bacterial SSU rRNA". It matches the Rfam family "Bacterial small subunit ribosomal RNA", at positions 330 to 792 of the family's 1533-position model. The record is from RNAcentral.
CCCAGACUCCUACGGGAGGCAGCAGUGGGGGAUAUUGCACAAUGGGGGAAACCCUGAUGCAGCGACGCCGCGUGAGUGAAGAAGUAUUUCGGUAUGUAAAGCUCUAUCAGCAGGGAAGAAAAUGACAGUACCUGACCAAGAAGCCCCGGCUAACUACGUGCCAGCAGCCGCGGUAAUACGUAGGGGGCAAGCGUUAUCCGGAUUUACUGGGUGUAAAGGGAGCGUAGACGGUGAUGCAAGUCAGAAGUGAAAGCCCGGGGCUCAACUCCGGGACUGCUUUUGAAACUGUGUGACUGGAGUGCAGGAGAGGUAAGCGGAAUUCCUGGUGUAGCGGUGAAAUGCGUAGAUAUCAGGAGGAACACCAGCGGCGAAGGCGGCUUACUGGACUGUAACUGACGUUGAGGCUCGAAAGCGUGGGGAGCAAACAGGAUUAGAUACCCUCGUA